This 71-nucleotide small RNA is filed under the name Salix viminalis (osier). Lineage: Eukaryota; Viridiplantae; Streptophyta; Magnoliopsida; Malpighiales; Salicaceae. The record is from RNAcentral.
AAAAACCCUUUUCAUUGUGGCUAAAUUUACAAAUUGAUAUAAACACAGGGGCCACUAUGAGGGUUGUUUUC